UACGUAGGGUGCAAGCGUUAAUCGGAAUUACUGGGCGUAAAGCGUGCGCAGGCGGUUGUGCAAGACCGAUGUGAAAUCCCCCGGCUUAACCUGGGAAUGGCAUUGGUGACUGCACGGCUAGAGUGUGUCAGAGGGGGGUAGAAUUCCACGUGUAGCAGUGAAAUGCGUAGAGAUGUGGAGGAAUACCGAUGACGAAGGCAGCCCCCUGGGAUAACACUGACGCUCAUGCACGAAAGCGUGGGGAGCAAACAGG
This 253-nucleotide ribosomal RNA is filed under the name uncultured bacterium. RNAcentral's name for it is "partial 16S ribosomal RNA". It matches the Rfam family "Bacterial small subunit ribosomal RNA", at positions 524 to 776 of the family's 1533-position model. The record is from RNAcentral.